AGUGGCGGACGGGUGAGUAACGCGUGAGAAUCUGCCUUGGGGUCGGGGACAACCACUGGAAACGGUGGCUAAUACCGGAUAAGCCGAUUGGUGAAAGAUUUAUUGCCCGAAGAGGAGCUCGCGUCUGAUUAGCUAGUUGGUGAGGUAAGAGCUCACCAAGGCAGCGAUCAGUAGCUGGUCUGAGAGGACGAUCAGCCACACUGGGACUGAGACACGGCCCAGACUCCUACGGGAGGCAGCAGUGGGGGAUUUUCCGCAAUGGGCGAAAGCCUGACGGAGCAAGACCGCGUGAGGGAGGAAGGCUCUUGGGUUGUAAACCUCUUUUCUCAGGGAAGAAGCUCUGACGGUACCUGAGGAAUCAGCCUCGGCUAACUCCGUGCCAGCAGCCGCGGUAAUACGGAGGAGGCAAGCGUUAUCCGGAAUUAUUGGGCGUAAAGCGUCCGCAGGUGGCGAUUCAAGUCUGCUGUCAAAGCACGGGGCUUAACUCCGUAAAGGCAGUGGAAACUGAAUAGCUAGAGUGCCGUAGGGGUAGAGGGAAUUCCCGGUGUAGCGGUGAAAUGCGUAGAGAUCGGGAAGAACAUCGGUGGCGAAAGCGCUCUACUGGACGGCAACUGACACUCAGGGACGAAAGCUAGGGGAGCGAAUGGGAUUAGAUACCCC
This 660-nucleotide ribosomal RNA is filed under the name uncultured bacterium. RNAcentral describes it as "bacterial SSU rRNA". It matches the Rfam family "Bacterial small subunit ribosomal RNA", at positions 94 to 788 of the family's 1533-position model. The record is from RNAcentral.